Molecule: ribosomal RNA, 807 nt
Filed under: Marasmius neotropicalis
Lineage: Eukaryota; Fungi; Basidiomycota; Agaricomycetes; Agaricales; Marasmiaceae
Description: Marasmius sp. JJSO-2015e partial large subunit ribosomal RNA
Rfam family: Eukaryotic large subunit ribosomal RNA
Source: RNAcentral
UAACUGCGAGAGGAGAGGGAAAAGCUCAAAUUUAAAAUCUGGCCGUUUCACUGUCCGAGUUGUAAUUUAGAGAAGUGUUACCCGCGCUGGACCGUGUAUAAGUCUCCUGGAAUGGAGCGUCAUAGAGGGUGAGAAUCCCGUCUUUGACACGGACUACCAGGGCAUUGUGGUGCGCUCUCGAAGAGUCGAGUUGUUUGGGAAUGCAGCUCUAAAUGGGUGGUAAAUUCCAUCUAAAGCUAAAUAUUGGCGAGAGACCGAUAGCGAACAAGUACCGUGAGGGAAAGAUGAAAAGAACUUUGGAAAGAGAGUUAAACAGUACGUGAAAUUGCUGAAAGGGAAACGCUUGAAGUCAGUCGCGUUGGCCGGGGAUCAGCCUUGCUUUUGUGAGGUGUACUUCCUGGUUGACGGGUCAGCAUCAGUUUCGACCACUGGAAAAGGACUUGGGGAAUGUGGCACCUCCGGGUGUGUUAUAGCCUYUUGUCGUAUACAGUGGUUGGGACUGAGGAACUCAGCACGCCGCAAGGCCGGGUUUCGACCACGUUCGUGCUUAGGAUGCUGGCAAAAUGGCUUUAAGCGACCCGUCUUGAAACACGGACCAAGGAGUCUAACAUGCUUGCGAGUGUUUGGGUGGAAAACCCGAGCGCGUAAUGAAAGUGAAAGUUGGGAUCUCUGUCGUGGAGAGCACCGACGCCCGGACCUGAUGUUUACUGACGGAUCUGCGGUAGAGCACGUAUGUUGGGACCCGAAAGAUGGUGAACUAUGCCUGAAUAGGGUGAAGCCAGAGGAAACUCUGCUCUCAGCUCGUAC